This 217-nucleotide ribosomal RNA is filed under the name uncultured bacterium. RNAcentral's name for it is "partial 16S ribosomal RNA". It matches the Rfam family "Bacterial small subunit ribosomal RNA", at positions 328 to 539 of the family's 1533-position model. The record is from RNAcentral.
ACGCUCGACACCUACGGGGGCAGCAGCGAGGAAUAUUGGUCAAUGGGCGCUAGCCUGAACCAGCCAAGUAGCGUGAAGGAUGAAGGCUCUAUGGGUCGUAAACUUCUUUUAUAUAAGAAUAAAGUGCAGUAUGUAUACUGUUUUGUAUGUAUUAUAUGAAUAAGGAUCGGCUAACUCCGUGCCUGCAGCCGCGGUAAUCUGAGCGGGCUGGCAAGGC